GAUGAACGCUGGCGGCGUGCUUAACACAUGCAAGUCGAACGAAGCACUCUAUUUGAUUUUCUUCGGAAAUGAAGAUUUUGUGACUGAGUGGCGGACGGGUGAGUAACGCGUGGGUAACCUGCCUCAUACAGGGGGAUAACAGUUGGAAACGACUGCUAAUACCGCAUAAGCGCACAGGAUCGCAUGAUCUGGUGCGAAAAACUCCGGUGGUAUGAGAUGGACCCGCGUCUGAUUAGCCAGUUGGCAGGGUAACGGCCUACCAAAGCGACGAUCAGUAGCCGACCUGAGAGGGUGACCGGCCACAUUGGGACUGAGACACGGCCCAAACUCCUACGGGAGGCAGCAGUGGGGAAUAUUGCACAAUGGGGGAAACCCUGAUGCAGCGACGCCGCGUGAGCGAAGAAGUAUUUCGGUAUGUAAAGCUCUAUCAGCAGGGAAGAAG
Molecule: ribosomal RNA, 442 nt
Filed under: uncultured bacterium
Lineage: Bacteria
Description: bacterial SSU rRNA
Rfam family: Bacterial small subunit ribosomal RNA
Source: RNAcentral